AAAUUCUAAAACUUCACUUGUUCUUUGAAUGCUCUACAUAUGAACCAUUAUUUAGUCCAGACUCCAGAGAAAGAGUGUUACAUUCUCCCCUGUUUUACACAAGAAAAGAAAAACCCUUCAAUUCAUCUAGAACUUUCCUUCCUCACCUCACCUCACCUCACCCGCCUUGUCUCAGAUAUAAAUAAAACCAACCCAAACAACUUCUCCUCUUCAUAUUUCCUUUCACUCAAAGCAGAGAGAAAGAAACAGAACAACAUAACAAACAAUGAAACAACUUUUGUAUCUUACUGAGAAGGAAGAUAUACAUUCCUAAGCCAACCUCACAUCCAGCACCAAUUCCACAUCCAAACUGUAUCCCAGGUAUUCCAGGACCCAAACCUGCACCUGGAGUGGGAAAUGUUACCUUGUCAGCAUGCAAAAUAUUCAUUCAGUAUAUAAUAAAAUUAACAGUAAGAACUGGAAUA
Molecule: long non-coding RNA, 464 nt
Filed under: Aquilegia coerulea
Lineage: Eukaryota; Viridiplantae; Streptophyta; Magnoliopsida; Ranunculales; Ranunculaceae
Description: long non-coding RNA (ACOE_LNC000451)
Source: RNAcentral